AACUGGUCCACCUCAUUUGCAGGUCUCACUUGCUGUGUGGAUAAUAUGUCUUAUUAUAGCGAGGCCCUUUUAAUAACUAUUAUCUGCUUCGUUAAACCCGACUAUAAAUGGCCCGAUUAAACCUGAUUAUCAGUUCAAAUUUUGAAAAGUAAAGAUAACGGUAAAAAAUAUAUAGAAGUACCUCAAUUGCUUCAAAAUUGAUCACCGACCAUGCCCUUGAGUCCUCGACAAUCCCUAGAGAAAUCAACAAAAGCAAUAACCAGAAAUUACAGUUGCUUUUAAAUUAUCGUCAUUCAAACCCGUGUGAAGAUUCAGUGAUGAUGUUGGGUCCUCGUUAUUGAAGAUCGGGUUGCUGCUGGUUCCAUCGAGCUUUUUCAUGUUCAGAUCUGGGCUAAAUGUCAAUGUUUGCAAGCGUUUUGAAAGCAUUGAAGAGCUUUCUCCUGAUAUGGGAAUCGAGGGUUAUAUCAAGACUACGAUGUCAAAGGUUGUUUCAUCAUAUGCUUUCAAGAACACUCGACAAUCAACACAAAACCUUUGUUCUCAAAUUUACGUGAUGCUUCCGUCGAGGACCCGGGAAGGAACUUUCAGUAGGAAAACUUGUAACUAGCAGGUAAAGCAGAUUUCCUGUCAAACAGACUCUGUAUUACUGUAUUUUCUGCUCUAACUGGCGGGUAGAAGUCACUUCGAAGAAAAUAAAUGCUGUGUUGGCCACCAAAAUCUGAAUCAUGUGACCUGAAGAAAUUCCAAUUAGGAGACAUAAUUAUUUCUGGGAGAAUUAAACUUGUAAGGUUUUGCGAGCUUUUAGGGCUUGUUCAUUGGAAUAGAUCAUACGGGCAUGGUAAAGAUCUAGUUUCUUGUAAACACUAUGCUGCUUGCCAAAUAGUUACUAGGGAGUAAACUAACUUGCCAUUUUAAUUGAUAUCAUUCUUGUUUUGUGGUAAGUUGGAUUAUGUCAUAAAUCAUAGCUUUUCUUAUGACUAUAUCGAAGAUGUACGGGCCAGA
This is a long non-coding RNA of Raphanus sativus (radish), 1002 nucleotides long. RefSeq lists it as uncharacterized. NCBI's taxonomy places the organism in Eukaryota, Viridiplantae, Streptophyta, Magnoliopsida, Brassicales, Brassicaceae. The transcript is spliced from 4 exons. The record is from RefSeq and is a predicted model, not a curated record.